RNAcentral lists this ribosomal RNA (274 nucleotides) under uncultured bacterium. Its description in RNAcentral is "partial 16S ribosomal RNA". It matches the Rfam family "Bacterial small subunit ribosomal RNA", at positions 523 to 796 of the family's 1533-position model. The record is from RNAcentral.
AUACGGAGGGAGCAAGCGUUAUUCGGAAUCACUGGGCGUAAAGGACGCGUAGGCGGGUUUGUAAGUCAGGUGUGAAAUCCUACAGCUCAACUGUAGAACUGCACUUGAAACUACAGACCUAGAGUAUGGAAGGGGCAGAUGGAAUUAGUGGUGUAGGGGUAAAAUCCGUAGAUAUCACUAGGAAUACCGAAAGCGAAGGCGAUCUGCUGGGACAUUACUGACGCUGAGGCGUAAAAGCGUGGGGAGCGAACAGGAUUAGAAACCCCGGUAGUCC